This 705-nucleotide ribosomal RNA is filed under the name Bacillus thuringiensis. Its description in RNAcentral is "bacterial SSU rRNA". It matches the Rfam family "Bacterial small subunit ribosomal RNA", at positions 86 to 776 of the family's 1533-position model. Lineage: Bacteria; Bacillati; Bacillota; Bacilli; Caryophanales; Bacillaceae. The record is from RNAcentral.
AUGAAGUUAGCGGCGGACGGGUGAGUAACACGUGGGUAACCUGCCCAUAAGACUGGGAUAACUCCGGGAAACCGGGGCUAAUACCGGAUAACAUUUUGAACCGCAUGGUUCGAAAUUGAAAGGCGGCUUCGGCUGUCACUUAUGGAUGGACCCGCGUCGCAUUAGCUAGUUGGUGAGGUAACGGCUCACCAAGGCAACGAUGCGUAGCCGACCUGAGAGGGUGAUCGGCCACACUGGGACUGAGACACGGCCCAGACUCCUACGGGAGGCAGCAGUAGGGAAUCUUCCGCAAUGGACGAAAGUCUGACGGAGCAACGCCGCGUGAGUGAUGAAGGCUUUCGGGUCGUAAAACUCUGUUGUUAGGGAAGAACAAGUGCUAGUUGAAUAAGCUGGCACCUUGACGGUACCUAACCAGAAAGCCACGGCUAACUACGUGCCAGCAGCCGCGGUAAUACGUAGGUGGCAAGCGUUAUCCGGAAUUAUUGGGCGUAAAGCGCGCGCAGGUGGUUUCUUAAGUCUGAUGUGAAAGCCCACGGCUCAACCGUGGAGGGUCAUUGGAAACUGGGAGACUUGAGUGCAGAAGAGGAAAGUGGAAUUCCAUGUGUAGCGGUGAAAUGCGUAGAGAUAUGGAGGAACACCAGUGGCGAAGGCGACUUUCUGGUCUGUAACUGACACUGAGGCGCGAAAGCGUGGGGAGCAAACAGA